RNAcentral lists this non-coding RNA (43 nucleotides) under Schistosoma mattheei. The record is from RNAcentral. Lineage: Eukaryota; Metazoa; Platyhelminthes; Trematoda; Strigeidida; Schistosomatidae.
ACUGCUGACGAGUCUCAAAUAGGACGAAACGCUCUUCCUGAAU